Molecule: long non-coding RNA, 1793 nt
Filed under: Callithrix jacchus (white-tufted-ear marmoset)
Lineage: Eukaryota; Metazoa; Chordata; Mammalia; Primates; Cebidae
Description: lncRNA (ENSCJAG00000076760.1)
Source: RNAcentral
CAGAGGUAAAUGAGGAGCAAGAACGAAGACUUGAUCUAUGGCAGGCUGAGGAGGGGCCUGGAGGAGGCCACAUGUGUGCAGAGACGCUGAGAUUAGGCAGAUCAGUGCAUCCUCACCAGACCCUCUCCCAACCCAGGAGGUGAUACGUGGGUCAGCAUAUUAAAGAUGUCAUUCACUGAUGCCCUAACCUUGUUCCAAAAAUAUUUGACAUUAUCCUCACGUGAUUUUCUAAGAGGUGACGGAUAAAGUGUACAUGCCCCCAAGAAUGAGUAACCAGGACAACCCUCCCUCUCAGCAUCUCCUCCUGGAUGAAUGCUUACCUGUGACAAUGCUGUCUCUUUUAGGAUGUGAUUGUGGAUGGUCUGUAGUUAGAAGUACAAGUGUGUUCAACCUCAGCAUAAAAUCAGAAAUGCACACUGAUGGAGUUGCUCACAUGACUUCCCAGUGGAAGGAGUUUCCGGACUGAAUUUAAACUCAUUCCCAGACCACUUGUCCCUGUCAAGUGAUGUACACUGAAGAAAGAGCCUCCUUCAGGCUGUGAGGUCUUCCUGUCAUCCUGACCAAUCAUUUCCCACCAUGAGACUGCUGUACCUUCUCUUUCUCUUUCUUGGAUAUCUGAUACAAACAGCCUCAGGUAAGCUACGAGCCCACCUGGAGGAUGACGAGGUAGAUACCCUUGGAGCUGACGCAGGCCAAACUGAUUCACAAGCCAAGGAGGCACUGAAAUAGGGGAUAACUGAACAGCCACAGGGCUGAGCAAAAGCACAGCAUGUACAAGAAAUGCAUUUUACAAAUCAGGAGAGAGAAGCUUAAAGAAAUUUAAAAAUUUUUUUCCAAGAUUACCUUUAUCUAGUUGUUGCAAAAGAUACCAGACAUGAUUGUGAUAGAUGACAUUAACAGUAGCCAUCAAAGCCUCCAAACCGUUUCCAUGACGUUCAAAACAAUGGCAACAGCCACACUAAUACUAACAGCAAAUAAUGCCGACCGCUUUCUCUUUACCGGACGUCAAAGCAAAUAUGUGUUGUGUUUUAACAUGUUACCUCCCAUGUACUCCUCAUAAGAAUAUUUAUGGGGCAGGUAUUUUUAACCCUGUCUUACAUAUGAGACUAAGGAAUGGCAUCACUUGUCCAAAGUCACAAGGAUUGUAAGUGGUGAAGCCUAGAUUCAGACUCAAGUUGGUUUGGUUCCAAAGAUUAUGCUGUUACUAAAUACUCAACAAUACCUGAAAAUAAAAAUGAACAGUUUUAAGUACAGGUAUGUCCCAUGCAACACUUGGGACAAGCUUAUACUACAAGAAGAUUCGUUGUUUAUCUGAUAUUCAAAUUUAACUAGAGGUCUCACAUUUUCCUGGCAACCUCCUGUAUAUGUCACAUGGACCAGGUUACGCUGUGGUGAAAACAACAUUCAAAUCCUGGCAUCCUAAAAAGAGCAAAGGUUUAACUCCCACUUCUGGUACAAAUGCUUUGUGGCCGUAGGGCUGCUCUGCCCACUGCGGCUGCUCCACCCCACUGGUGGAGUGGCCACAACCGUGACUACUGCUGGCCGCUGCAAAGGAAGGGGCGCUGAGGUUCUCACACUCGCAGGUAAGGGCUUCAGCCCUGCAAGGACACAUCACUUCUGCUCAAAAUUUAUUAACCAAGCAAGUCUCAUUGGCCCUUCCUAACAAAAGGUAGGGGAGGCAAUCCUACUUCAUGGCAAGAAAAUAGCCAGAUCUAUUUGUGAUAUAGAUAUACCACUAUAUAUUUGUGAUAUAGAUAUAUAGCCCCCUAAUUGUGAUAGAUAGAUGAUUGAUG